This 192-nucleotide long non-coding RNA is filed under the name Fukomys damarensis (Damara mole-rat). Its description in RNAcentral is "lncRNA (ENSFDAG00000024347.1)". The record is from RNAcentral. Lineage: Eukaryota; Metazoa; Chordata; Mammalia; Rodentia; Bathyergidae.
CUCAGUGGCAGACUAUGAAUACUACAAAAUCGCAAAUAACCAAGAUGUCAAGGUUCCCUGAGAGGAGUUGCUCUUCGGGAUGGGAUACUCUGUAUCCAGUGAUGAUUGGCUCACACAUCAGAGAGCUGAGGCUCCAACACAUAAAACUAUGAAAGAAGACCACUCAGACUUAAGAAAGGCUUGUAACCCAGC